UUAAGUGAACAAGGGCAUACGGCGGAUGCCUUGGCGCCAAGAGCCGAUGAAGGACGCGGUAAGCUGCGAAAAGGCAUGGGUAGGAGCAAGCAUCCAGUGAUCCAUGCAUAUCCGAAUGGGGCAACCCACCAUCAGUCAUGUGAUGGUACGAAAGAGGCAGACCUGGGGAACUGAAACAUCUAAGUACCCAGAGGAAAAGUAAUCAAUUGAGAUUCCCUAAGUAGCGGCGAGCGAAAGGGGAAGAGCCCAAACCAUGAAACUUCGGUUUUGUGGGGUUGAGGACCGGCAAAAAGAGGAAACUUCUUAGUCGAAUGGUUUGGAAAGGCCAUGCACAGAAGGUAAAACACCUGUAGGCGAAAAGAAGUCAAUCGGGCUGGUAUCCAGAGUACUGCGAGACACGUGAAACCUUGCAGGAAGCAGGGGGGACCACCCUCCAAGGCAAAAUACUACUUGGCGACCGAUAGCGCAUAGUACCGUGAGGGAAAGGUGAAAAGAACCCCGGGAGGGGAGUGAAAUAGAACCUGAAACCGUAUGUCUACAAGCAGUCGAAGCACCUUAAGAGUGCGACGGCGUGCCUAUUGAAGAAUGAACCGGCGAGUUACAUUAUGUUGCGAGGUUAAGUGGGAGACACGGAGCCGAAGCGAAAGCGAGUCUUAAUAGGGCGACUAGUAACAUGGUGUAGACCCGAAACCGCAGUGAUCUAUCCAUGGUCAGGUUGAAGCGCAGGUAAAAAUGCGUGGAGGACCGAACCCGUGAGUGUUGAAAAACUUUGGGAUGAACCGUGGAUAGGGGUGAAAUGCCAAUCGAACGCGGAGAUAGCUGGUACUCCCCGAAAUAGCUUUAGGGCUAGCCUCAGGGAAGAUUAUAGACGGUAGAGCACUGAUCUGGCAAGGGGGCGUAAAGCCUACCGACCCUAGUCAAACUUCGAAUGGCUAUAAUUAAGACCCUGGGAGUCAGACUGCGAGUGAUAAGACCCGUAGUCAAGAGGGAAACAGCCCAGACCGCCGACUAAGGUCCCCAAUGCUGUACUAAGUGGAAAAGGAUGUAAGACUUCAUAAACAACCAGGAUGUUGGCUUAGAAGCAGCCACCAUUAAAAGAGUGCGUAAUAGCUCACUGGUCGAGAGGCCUUGCGCCGAAGAUGUCCGGGGCUCAAGUACAGAACCGAAGUCGCGGCAGGAUUAUAUAAUUCUGGGUAGGGGAGCGUUGUAUAUCCGACUGAAGGUGUACCGGAAGGAGCGCUGGAGGAUAUACAAGAGAGAAUGCCGGUAUGAGUAGCGAAAAGAACAGUGAGAAUCUGUUCCACCGAAAGCCUAAGGUUUCCUGAGCAACGCUCGUCGACUCAGGGUAAGUCGGGACCUAAGCCGAGGCAAAAAGCAUAGGCGAUGGACAACAGGUUAAUAUUCCUGUACCGCUUCAAAUCGUUUGAGCAAUGGAGUGACACAGAAGGUAGCUUGAGCACGCGAAUGGAUGUGCGUGUCGAAGGUGGUAGGUUGCAGUAUAGGUAAAUCCGUACUGUAUAAGACCGAGAACUGAUAGAUAGACGAUACUUCGGUAAAGUCAAAUUCAAGUGAGCCAUGCUGUCGAGAAAAGCUUCUAGUGAGAGAUGAGGCGCCCGUACCGAAACCGACACAGGUAGGCGGGGAGAGAAUCCUAAGGUGCGCGGGACAACCCUCGUUAAGGAACUCGGCAAAUUGUAUCCGUAACUUAGGGAUAAGGAUAGCCGGAGGAUGUGAAGGGAUUUACUUCUGGAGCGUCAGCCGGUGGCACAAGAGAGGCCCAAGCGACUGUUUAGCACAAACACAGGUGCCUGCAAAAGAGAAAUCUGACGUAUAGGUGCUGACACCUGCCCGGUGCUGGAAGGUUAAGAGGAGGGCUUAGAGGAAACUCGAAGGCUUGAAUUGAAGCCCCAGUAAACGGCGGCCGUAACUAUAACGGUCCUAAGGUAGCGAAAUUCCUUGUC
Molecule: ribosomal RNA, 1961 nt
Filed under: human gut metagenome
Description: bacterial LSU rRNA
Rfam family: Bacterial large subunit ribosomal RNA
Source: RNAcentral